GACAGGUGGUGCAUGGUUGUCGUCCAGCUCGUGUCGUGAGAUGUUGGGUUAAGUCCCGCAACGAGCGCAACCCUUGUGUUUUAGUUGCAAACAGGUCAAGCUGUGCACUCUAGACAGACUGCCGUGGACAACACGGAGGAAGGUGGGGAUGACGUCAAAUCAUCAUGCCCCUUAUGAUCUGGGCUACACACGUGCUACAAUGGCCGGUACAACGGGCAGCGAAGGAGCGAUCCGGAGCGAAUCCUAAAAAGCCGGUCCCAGUUCGGAUUGCAGGCUGAAACUCGCCUACAUGAAGUUGGAAUCGCUAGUAAUCGCGCAUCAGCAUGGCGCGGUGAAUACGUUCCCGGGCCUU
Molecule: ribosomal RNA, 352 nt
Filed under: uncultured Fusibacter sp.
Lineage: Bacteria; Bacillati; Bacillota; Clostridia; Eubacteriales; Fusibacteraceae
Description: bacterial SSU rRNA
Rfam family: Bacterial small subunit ribosomal RNA
Source: RNAcentral